This 600-nucleotide ribosomal RNA is filed under the name uncultured bacterium. RNAcentral describes it as "bacterial SSU rRNA". It matches the Rfam family "Bacterial small subunit ribosomal RNA", at positions 9 to 569 of the family's 1533-position model. The record is from RNAcentral.
GAGUUUGAUCCUGGCUCAAGACGAACGCUGGCGGCGUGCCUAAUACGUGCAAGUCGAGCGAGCUUGCCUAGAUGAUUUUAGUGCUUGCACUAAAUGAAACUAGAUACAAGCGAGCGGCGGACGGGUGAGUAACACGUGGGUAACCUGCCCAAGAGACUGGGAUAACACCUGGAAACAGAUGCUAAUACCGGAUAACAACACUAGACGCAUGUCUAGAGUUUGAAAGAUGGUUCUGCUAUCACUCUUGGAUGGACCUGCGGUGCAUUAGCUAGUUGGUAAGGUAACGGCUUACCAAGGCAAUGAUGCAUAGCCGAGUUGAGAGACUGAUCGGCCACAUUGGGACUGAGACACGGCCCAAACUCCUACGGGAGGCAGCAGUAGGGAAUCUUCCACAAUGGACGAAAGUCUGAUGGAGCAACGCCGCGUGAGUGAAGAAAGGUUUCGGCUCGUAAAGCUCUGUUGGUAGUGAAGAAAGAUAGAGGUAGUAACUGGCCUUUAUUUGACGGUAAUUACUUAGAAAGUCACGGCUAACUACGUGCCAGCAGCCGCGGUAAUACGUAAGUGGCAAGCGUUGUCCGGAUUUAUUGAGCGUAAAGCGAG